AAGCGGGGGCAGAAGUGCAGCGGGUGCUGACGCAGAUCUGCCGGAGCUGUGGGGAUUUCCUUCAGAUUCAGGUAAGGACUUGAUUUCACUUUGGAAAUCUGAACGUCCUUGGCCUCUCGGUCCAGUCCCCUUCCCGCUCCCCUUCCACUGCGCAAUGGGACCGGAGAAAGAUGCCGCAGGGGAAGGGGAAGAGGAAUGGGAAUGGGACUGGAGGGAGAUGCUGCAGGGGAAGGGGGAGGGAAGUGGGAUUGGAAGGAGAGGGCGCAGGUUAAGGAUAAGGGUAAUGGGAAGGGGACUAGAGGGAGAUGCCACAGGGGAAGGGGAAAGGGGAAUGGGAUUUGGAAUGGGAUUGGAGGGGGAUGCCUCAGGGGAUGGGGAAGGGGAAUUGGAAGGGGACUGGAGGGAGAUGCCACAUUGAAUCGGGAAAGGGGAAUGGGAUUUGGAAUAGGAUUGGAGGGAGAUGCCUCAGGGGAAGGGAAAGGGAAUGGGAAGGGGACUGGAGGGAAAUGCCACAGGGUAAGGGGAAAGGGGAAUGGGAUUUGCAAUGGGACUGGAGGGAGAUGCUGCAAGGCUGGGGAAAAGGGAAUGGGAAAGGGACAGGAGGGAAAUGCUGCAGGGGAAGGGCAAUGGGAAUGGGGAUGUGACUGGAGGGAGAUGCCUCAGGGGAAGGGGAAGGGGAAUUGGAAGGGGACUGGAGGGAGAUACCAAAGGGAAGGGGGAACGGGAAUGGGAGUGGAGGGAGAUCCCAUCGGGAAGGGGACGGGGAAUGCAACAGGUGGCAGAGGGUGCAGAGGGAGACGGGGAAUGGGAAUGGAACUGGAGGGAGAUGCUGCAGGGGAAGGGGAAAGGGGAAUGGGAAUGGGAGUGGUGGGAUAUGUCGGAGGGGAAUGGGAAGGGGAAUUGGAAGGGGACUGGAGGGAGAUGCCACAGGGAAAAGGGAAAGUUGAAUGGGAUUUGGAAUGGGAUUGGAGGGAGAUGGCACCGGGAAAGGGGAAAGGGGAAUGGGAUUUGGAAU
This 1015-nucleotide long non-coding RNA is filed under the name Numida meleagris (helmeted guineafowl). RNAcentral describes it as "lncRNA (ENSNMEG00000002405.1)". Lineage: Eukaryota; Metazoa; Chordata; Aves; Galliformes; Numididae. The record is from RNAcentral.